ACUAAGCCAUAUUAAUUAGGGUUGGUAAAUUUCGUGCCAGCCACCGCGGUCAUACGAUUAACCCAAGUUAAUAGGCAUACGGCGUAAAGUGUGUUAAAGCACUAUACUAAAUAAAGUUAAAUUCUAAUUAAGCUGUAAAAAGCCAUAAUUGCAACAAAAAUAUAUAACGAAAGUAACUUUACAACCGCUGAAACACGAUAGCUAGGACCCAAACUGGGAUUAGAUACCCCACUAUGCCUAGCCUUAAACACAAAUAGUUAUGCAAACAAAACUAUUCGCCAGAGUACUACCGGCAAUAGCUUAAAACUCAAAGGACUUGGCGGU
Molecule: ribosomal RNA, 324 nt
Filed under: Cervus elaphus (red deer)
Lineage: Eukaryota; Metazoa; Chordata; Mammalia; Artiodactyla; Cervidae
Description: partial 12S ribosomal RNA
Rfam family: Bacterial small subunit ribosomal RNA
Source: RNAcentral